GGCUGUACCCUGCUCUGUGCUUUUUAGGGAUAGUCUCACCCUGGAACUGUACUUGAGAAGUGGUUAUGGAUGGAUGGAUGGAUGGAUGGAUAUGUUAUUUUUCUGUUUUGGCUGCUGGGAUUUCAGAAAUGUACAACAUGGAUGAUAAAAUAAAUUUUUCACAAUUAGUAUGUUUUUAGGAACAUAUGAUAAAAUGUUCAACUCAAACAUUUAGGGAUAUACUUUUCAUACCACAAUGUUCAAUAAGGAAUUCAAACCCAGAACCCGCAGGUGACAGCUCCGUGCAGGACCAGUGAACGCAUGUGUGUUUGUACUCUGUCUGACAUGAAUUUCAUGGUGACUGACUCUAUUCUUACAUUAUUUUAGCUGCUGCCAGUGUUUUUCUGGCAAAAUAUUAUUCUGAUUCAACUUUGAAAGGACAACUUGGAACAUUUGUCACUUUAUUAAUGUUUCCAGUCAUCAUGGUUUUAUUCCCAGUUGGUCUCGGUGUGUUUCGGAUAAUACGCUCCCGAAGGAUGGGAGAAACAGUACGACUUAGAGACAUUCUUGAAAUCAUGGCUUAUUUCAUGCAUCGUCCAAUACUAUUUAACAUGCUGAUCCUUGUUAUUUAUUUCGAACUCUUGUCCUGGAUUAACAACAUUUUUAAAUUGG
Molecule: non-coding RNA, 651 nt
Organism: Paramormyrops kingsleyae
Lineage: Eukaryota; Metazoa; Chordata; Actinopteri; Osteoglossiformes; Mormyridae
Source: RefSeq, a predicted model, not a curated record